UACGAGGGGGGCGAGCGUUGUUCGGAAUUAUUGGGCGUAAAGGGUGCGUAGGCGGUUUGGUAAGUCUGAUGUGAAAUCUAUGGGCUCAACUCAUAGUCUGCAUCGGAAACUGCCGGGCUUGAGUGUGGGAGAGGUGAGUGGAAUUCCUGGUGUAGCGGUGAAAUGCGUAGAUAUCGUAAGGAAGACCAGUGGCGAAGGCGGGUCUCUGGACAGUUCCUGACACUGAGACACGAAGGCCAGGGGAGCAAACGGG
Molecule: ribosomal RNA, 253 nt
Filed under: uncultured prokaryote
Description: partial 16S ribosomal RNA
Rfam family: Bacterial small subunit ribosomal RNA
Source: RNAcentral